This 721-nucleotide ribosomal RNA is filed under the name Streptomyces macrosporeus. RNAcentral describes it as "bacterial SSU rRNA". It matches the Rfam family "Bacterial small subunit ribosomal RNA", at positions 61 to 797 of the family's 1533-position model. Lineage: Bacteria; Bacillati; Actinomycetota; Actinomycetes; Kitasatosporales; Streptomycetaceae. The record is from RNAcentral.
GUCGAACGAUGAACCUCUUCGGUGGGGAUUUGUGGGGAACGGGUGAGAAACACGUGGGCAAUCUGCCCUGCGCUCUGGGACAAGCCCUGUAAACGGGGUCUAAUACCGGAUACUGACCCCCCUGGGCAUCCCGGCGGUUCGAAAGCUCCCGCGGUGCAGGAUGAGCCCGCGGCCUAUCACCUUGUUGGUGAGGUAACGGGUCACCAAGGCGACAACAGGUAGCCGGCCUGAGAGGGCGACCGGCCACACUGGGACUGAGACACGGCCCACACUCCUACGGGAGGCAGCAGUGGGGAAUAUUGCGCAAUGGGCGAAAGCCUGAUGCACCGACGCCCCGUGAGGGAUGACAGCCUUCUGGUUGUAAACCUCUUUCACCAGGGAAGAAACGCAAGUGACGGUACCUGCGCAAAAAACGCCGGCUAACUACGUGCCACCAGCCGCGGUAAUACAUAUGGCGCGAGCGUUGUCCGGAAUUAUUGGGCGUAAAGAGCUCUUAUGCGGCUUGUCUCGUCGGUUGUGAAAGACCGGGGCUUAACCCCGGGUCUGCGGUCUAUACGGGCAGGCUAUAGUUCGGUAGGGGAGAUCGGAAUUCCUGGUGUAUCGCUGAAAUGUGCACAUAUCUGGAGGAACACCGGUGGGGAAAGCGGGUCUCUGUGGCGAUACUGACACUGAGGAGAGAAAGCGUGUGGAGCGAACAGGAUUAUAUACCCUGGGGAGUCCC